Molecule: ribosomal RNA, 253 nt
Filed under: uncultured bacterium
Lineage: Bacteria
Description: partial 16S ribosomal RNA
Rfam family: Bacterial small subunit ribosomal RNA
Source: RNAcentral
CACGUAGGCACCAAGCGUUGUCCGGAUUUAUUGGGCGUAAAGAGCUCGUAGGCGGUUCGGUAAGUCUGUCGUGAAAUCCCCGGGCUCAACCUGGGAAUGGCAAUGGAAACUGGCGGGCUAGAGUGUGGCAGAGGGGGGUGGAAUUCCGCGUGUAGCAGUGAAAUGCGUAGAGAUGCGGAGGAACACCGAUGGCGAAGGCAGCCCCCUGGGCUAGCACUGACGCUCAGGCACGAAAGCGUGGGGAGCAAACAGG